UGAAGAGUUUGAUCCUGGCUCAGGAUGAACGCUAGCGGCAGGCCUAACACAUGCAAGUCGAACGGUAACAGAGAAAAGCUUGCUUUUUUGCUGACGAGUGGCGCACGGGUGCGUAACGCGUAUACAAUCUACCUUUUACAGGGGGAUAGCCUUUAGAAAUGAAGAAUAAUACCCCAUAGUAAGUAUUUUUCGCAUGGAAAAUACUUUAAAGAUUUAUCGGUAAAAGAUGAGUAUGCGUUCUAUUAGCUAGAUGGUAAGGUAACGGCUUACCAUGGCAACGAUAGAUAGGGGCCCUGAGAGGGGGAUCCCCCACACUGGUACUGAGACACGGACCAGACUCCUACGGGAGGCAGCAGUGAGGAAUAUUGGACAAUGGAGGCAACUCUGAUCCAGCCAUGCCGCGUGCAGGAAGACUGCCCUAUGGGUUGUAAACUGCUUUUGUACAGGAAGAAACCUUUCCACGUGUGGAGAGCUGACGGUACUGUAAGAAUAAGGAUCGGCUAACUCCGUGCCAGCAGCCGCGGUAAUACGGAGGGUCCGAGCGUUAUCCGGAAUCAUUGGGUUUAAAGGGUCCGCAGGCGGUCAAUUAAGUCAGAGGUGAAAUCCCAUAGCUUAACUAUGGAACUGCCUUUGAUACUGGUUGACUUGAGUUAUACGGAAGUAGAUAGAAUAAGUAGUGUAGCGGUGAAAUGCAUAGAUAUUACUUAGAAUACCGAUUGCGAAGGCAGUCUACUACGUAUAUACUGACGCUCAUGGACGAAAGCGUGGGGAGCGAACAGGAUUAGAUACCCUGGUAGUCCACGCCGUAAACGAUGAGAGCUAGUUGUCUGGCAGCAUGCUGUUAGGUGACGCAGCUAACGCAUUAAGCUCUCCGCCUGGGGAGUACGGCCGCAAGGUUAAA
RNAcentral lists this ribosomal RNA (901 nucleotides) under Ctenophora environmental sample. Its description in RNAcentral is "partial Bacterial small subunit ribosomal RNA". It matches the Rfam family "Bacterial small subunit ribosomal RNA", at positions 1 to 898 of the family's 1533-position model. Lineage: Eukaryota; Metazoa; Ctenophora. The record is from RNAcentral.